This 170-nucleotide non-coding RNA is filed under the name Candidatus Fimenecus excrementavium. Its description in RNAcentral is "glmS glucosamine-6-phosphate activated ribozyme". It matches the Rfam family "glmS glucosamine-6-phosphate activated ribozyme aptamer". From Rfam's summary of the family: This entry contains a glucosamine-6-phosphate activated ribozyme that is found in the mRNA for GlmS. GlmS is an enzyme that uses fructose-6-phosphate and glutamine to generate glucosamine-6-phosphate. Lineage: Bacteria; Bacillati; Bacillota; Clostridia. The record is from RNAcentral.
AAAAUAGCGCCGGGCCUGCUUUUGCACUGUUGCCGUUUUCGGCAAAAUCGGCAGGUGACGAGGAAGAAGUUAUCGAAAGUUUCGGCGGAUGCUUCUUGCCCCAUAAGUGCGGGGGCCAUAGGCUUUUCCGAAAAACCGCGCAGCGAUGUGCGAAACAGAGGGAAAGGCAA